This 442-nucleotide ribosomal RNA is filed under the name Vibrio sp. ini24. RNAcentral's name for it is "bacterial SSU rRNA". It matches the Rfam family "Bacterial small subunit ribosomal RNA", at positions 87 to 526 of the family's 1533-position model. The record is from RNAcentral. Lineage: Bacteria; Pseudomonadati; Pseudomonadota; Gammaproteobacteria; Vibrionales; Vibrionaceae.
GGCGUCGAGCGGCGGACGGGUGAGUAAUGCCUGGGAAAUUGCCCUGAUGUGGGGGAUAACUAUUGGAAACGAUAGCUAAUACCGCAUAAUGUCUACGGACCAAAGAGGGGGACCUUCGGGCCUCUCGCUUCAGGAUAUGCCCAGGUGGGAUUAGCUAGUUGGUGAGGUAAUGGCUCACCAAGGCGACGAUCCCUAGCUGGUCUGAGAGGAUGAUCAGCCACACUGGAACUGAGACACGGUCCAGACUCCUACGGGAGGCAGCAGUGGGGAAUAUUGCACAAUGGGCGCAAGCCUGAUGCAGCCAUGCCGCGUGUAUGAAGAAGGCCUUCGGGUUGUAAAGUACUUUCAGUCGUGAGGAAGGCAAUAUAGUUAUAGCUGUGUUGUUUGACGUUAGCGACAGAAGAAGCACCGGCUAACUCCGUGCCAGCAGCCGCGGUAAUAC